ACAAGCGGUGGAGCAUGUGGUUAAUUCGAAGCAACGCGAAGAACCUUACCAGGUCUUGACAUCCCGAUGCUAUUUCUAGAGAUAGAAAGUUACUUCGGUACAUCGGUGACAGGUGGUGCAUGGUUGUCGUCAGCUCGUGUCGUGAGAUGUUGGGUUAAGUCCCGCAACGAGCGCAACCCCUAUUGUUAGUUGCCAUCAUUCAGUUGGGCACUCUAGCGAGACUGCCGGUAAUAAACCGGAGGAAGGUGGGGAUGACGUCAAAUCAUCAUGCCCCUUAUGACCUGGGCUACACACGUGCUACAAUGGUUGGUACAACGAGUUGCGAGUCGGUGACGGCGAGCUAAUCUCUUAAAGCCAAUCUCAGUUCGGAUUGUAGGCUGCAACUCGCCUACAUGAAGUCGGAAUCGCUAGUAAUCGCGGAUCAGCACGCCGCGGUGAAUACGUUCCCGGGCCUU
This 455-nucleotide ribosomal RNA is filed under the name uncultured Streptococcus sp. Its description in RNAcentral is "bacterial SSU rRNA". It matches the Rfam family "Bacterial small subunit ribosomal RNA", at positions 925 to 1382 of the family's 1533-position model. The record is from RNAcentral. Lineage: Bacteria; Bacillati; Bacillota; Bacilli; Lactobacillales; Streptococcaceae.